GUUUUUUAAUUAUUAAAAAAGGAAUAAAAUUAUACACCUGAUUUCACUAUUUUAAAAAAAUAAUUUUAUUUUCUAAGGAGAAGAAUACUAAUACUAAUCAUAAAUAAGCAAGGGACUUAGUUUGAUUCGUAUAAAAAAAUUUUAUUCAGAAUAUCAAUUAAAAUUUAAAAAAUUAAUAUUUAUAGAUUUAUGUGUAAAGUUAUUUUAUUAAAAAGUAAAAGAAAUAUUAAAAAAAU
Molecule: long non-coding RNA, 236 nt
Filed under: Lathyrus oleraceus (garden pea)
Lineage: Eukaryota; Viridiplantae; Streptophyta; Magnoliopsida; Fabales; Fabaceae
Description: Pisum sativum (pea) long non-coding RNA (PSAT_LNC036070)
Source: RNAcentral